Long non-coding RNA from Canis lupus familiaris (dog), 1458 nucleotides. RefSeq lists it as uncharacterized. Lineage: Eukaryota; Metazoa; Chordata; Mammalia; Carnivora; Canidae. The transcript has 3 exons. The record is from RefSeq and is a predicted model, not a curated record.
UCUUUCGGUCCCGUUUCUGGCCACGCUUGGAUCUGGGAACGGAAAGCAGGUGGGCACCGCCGUGCCUGCCAGGCCAGUGUGCACCCGGGAACACGGCACCGCCCCAGGGUUCCCGACAGAGGGACGUCACUCCCAAGAGUCGGUCACGCGGGUCACCCAAUGGCUGAGAAGCCAACCGAGGGUUAGCGGGACAGCGAGGCCGCCGAAGGGUAGCUACAGCAGGAAGCCGUCACCGCCUCCGGCUGGAGGGACAAGAGAAGGAGGAAAAGGAACAAGAGCUCCUUGGAGAAGAGGCCAAUGCACCGGCUGGGGCAGGGAAGUGCAGGAAUAAGCCUGAAGAACCUCAUAGUGCUGGAAGGCUCAGCAAAGAUCCAGAAGGGACUCCAGUUUUGGAAUUCUAUAACUUCUGUGGGAACUUGUUGGCUAGUCCAGUGCCCAUGCUGUGGGGAGGUGAGGGGUGAAGAUAACAGGACCAGAGAGAGUCCUGCGGAGCCCCAGGAGCCCGCGCCUGCCGGCACAGCACAGGAGGUGGCCACUGGACAGAAGCAAGGAUGGUCCCCUCUGGAGCCCCCUGAGAAGCCUGGGUGAGAGGAAGUGUGCGAAGUUGAAAGGGAUUUCAUCCUCAAGCAGAAAGCAUUUAGCAGAUGUCUAAACCCUCGUUUGGAGGAGGGGGAGAUAUUAUGCCAAUUAAAUCAAGACAAUAGCAUCUUGUUCCCCCUGCAGUGAACCCUGAUAAAAUUGCCCGUCCAGGGGAAGGAAAGUAUUUCAUUAUUGCACCUUUGAAAGAGGAUAAUCCUUUCUGUAUUUCCUCUCUGGGGGAUGGUGUCCUUUGUUCUUGCACCUCUGACUCACAGCUACUCCUUACCUUUAGUUUCGGGGGAAAAACUCGGUAGUUAAAAAAAAAAAAAAAAAAAGGCAUGUGUGAUUUAAUGACCAGGUUGUUAGACAAGUGAAGACCCAUCUCAGGAUUCUGAUCGAUAAACCAGAGGUGAUGACACAGUAAUCUCACAGUGUCCCCUGGGCCGGGGCACUGACACUCAGGAAGUGCCUUCUGCUUCCCUGGGGAUUGGGGCCCCCGGCUGGGCCCUGCAGAGCUGACUCCUCUGGGGCAGGCAUCUGAGACUGGUGGACGUGCAAGUCUGGAAAAGAUCUUUUGGAACCGGGAGGGGCGACAGGUUACCACUCUGAUGACCUCACUCCAGGACAGAAAGCCAGAAAGUGUAACAAGGAAAAGAAUUGCUCUCACAGAAUCUGUGGGAUGGGAUCGUAAAGCCCAUCAAGCCCAGUGGCUCCAUCUUACAGCUGCAGACACUAAGGCUGGGCCUGAUUGAGAAACAUUCCCAGAUCUGCUGAAUGAGUCUAACGGGCCUUGCAGCACUCGGGAGGGGCUUAUCCCCAAAACGUUGGAGUUUCCAAAGAGCAUCAAAGAACAAAAUAAAAAAUUAGAAGCUCUGCCCA